RNAcentral lists this ribosomal RNA (442 nucleotides) under uncultured bacterium. RNAcentral's name for it is "partial 16S ribosomal RNA". It matches the Rfam family "Bacterial small subunit ribosomal RNA", at positions 338 to 795 of the family's 1533-position model. The record is from RNAcentral.
GCUACGGGGAGCAGCAGUGGGGAAUAUUGGGCAAUGGGCGCAAGCCUGACCCAGCAACGCCGCGUGAAGGAAGAAGGCCCUCGGGUUGUAAACUUCUUUUGUCAGGGACGAAACAAAUGACGGUACCUGACGAAUAAGCCACGGCUAACUACGUGCCAGCAGCCGCGGUAAUACGUAGGUGGCAAGCGUUAUCCGGAUUUAUUGGGUUUAAAGGGUGCGUAGGCGGGCAUUUAAGCCGGCGGGCAACUGUCGGGGCUCAACCCCGGCCUGCCGUCGGAACUGGGUGCCUUGCGUGGGCGAGAAGUAUGCGGAAUGCGUGGUGUAGCGGUGAAAUGCAUAGAUAUCACGCAGAACCCCGAUUGCGAAGGCAGCAUACCGGCGCCCUACUGACGCUGAGGCACGAAAGUGCGGGUAUCGAACAGGAUUAGAUACCCCAGUAGUC